UGAGGAUUUGAUCCUGGUCCAGGAUGAACGCUGGCGGCGUGGAUAAGGCAUGCAAGUCGAACGAAGCAAUUUGCGAUUACAUCAAGAAUUGUUGAGUGGCGAACGAGUUAGUAUUACCUUGGCAUCUACCCCUGAGACGGAAAUAAUCCCGCGAAAGCGGGACUAAUGCCCGAUAGCAUCGUGCCUCACUAUUGUUCAGCACAAAGUCUAAAUUUUAAAUUAUAAAUUUUAAAUCAUUUUUUUAAAAUUUAAAAUUAAAAAUUGAAAAUUUCGUGCCGAGUAGCAGCGAGGCACGAUUAAAGUCGCAAGACACUUAGGGAGGAGCCUCGGUCCUAUCAGCUAGUUGGCGGGGUAAUGGCCCACCAAGGCUAUGACGGGUAGGGGACGUGAGAGCGUGACCCCCAACGACGGAACUGAGAUUAACGAUAGUCUCCUAAGAGAGUAAUCUCUUAGUAAAAUCUAGCUUAUAACGGUGAAAUCUCUGCGUGUGGAUAAUUUAUAUUCACAAGUUUUGGGGGUUGUACUACAAUACCCAAUAUGGAGACAACGCCGUGGGAAGUUAAUAGCAAAAAUGUUUCUGACCAGUAUAUCGCAGGAUUUUUGGAUGGCGAUGGGUCUAUUGUGGCGGCAAUUGAAAAACGUCCCGAUAGACGGCGCUUUCCUUAUCGCGUGCGAUUAAAGAUAAAUUUUACCCAACAUAUUCGACAUAAAAAUAUGAUGUUUCUUCUUCAGGAAGCAUUGGGUAAAGUCGGAUCUGUCAGAUUUAUUCGAACUCAUAAUCUUGCCGAAUUGGUCAUUCAAAAGCGGCAGGAUGUUAAACAUACUCUUGAACGCUUACUGCCGUACCUGAUUCUUAAACAGAGGCAGGCAAAAAUUAUGCUUGCUAUGAUUGAAAUAUUUGACCACGGAGUGGUCAAAGUUCGCAGUUCUCUUUCGGAUAAAGACUUUGAGAAAUUAUUCUCAAUGGCAAAAGAACUGCGAAAUCUUAAUGCAGGCGCAGGAGGCAAAAAGAACUAUGAGUUCAUUAACCCCGUAACGACUCAUUCCGAGUUUACUCGGAAUGGAUAGCCAGGAUUUAUCUUGGUUAUAACACGCUAGCCCCCUUGUACGAUCAAACGAGGGGUGAAGACAUAGUCUAUACCACAAGUGAUUGUGGACAAAUAUGACGGUCCGUACACCUACGGGUGGCUGCAGUCAAGAACAUUCGACAAUGGGCGAAAGCCUGAUCGAGCGACGCCGCGUGCAGGAUGAAGGCCUUCGGGUCGUAAACUGCUUUUAACUGGGAACAAGUCCGGCCCUUUCGGGAUGGAAUUUUUUGAGUGAAAAUUUUCUUUUUCGAGAGGGCCGGAUUGAGCGUACCAGUGGAAUAAGGAGCUGCAAACUUCGUGCCAGCAGCCGCGGUAAUACGAAGGCUCCAAGCGUUAUCCGGAUUUAUUGGGCGUAAAGGGUCUCCAGGCUGUUUUGUUAGUCCGGCGUUAAAUCUCACCGCUUAACGGGGAGAGUGCGUUGGAUACGGCAAAACUUGAGGCAAGAAGAGGCAUACGGAACUCAUGGGGUAGGGGGGAAAUCCGUUGAUAUCAUGGGGAACACCAAAUGCGAAGGCAGUAUGCUGGUCUUGUCCUGACGCUCAUGAGACGAAAGCGUGGGGAGCGAAUAGGAUUGACACUCGUCCCGGUAUUCAUUUGCUUAAAAAUAAAUGAAGACCGCGGACUCGCUAAGAGAAAAAGGAGAACGAAAGUGAAAUGUUUUAUCAAGAGUUCAAGCAAAGAAGCAAUUCACUCUGAUGUGGUUGAAUUUAUCUAUACACUUGGGAGUAUUCAAGGCAUUUCUGACAAUGGCGAUUUAGUUAUUGUAGAGGUGCUGCGAGAGGAUCUUUCUAAGUUAGAAGAAUAUUGUUCAGCGCAUGGAUUGGAACUUGAGAAAACAUUAGGUUUUUCUUUCUAGCGAACCGCAGGGUAUGCGGUGAGUCUGAUUCUCCGAAGCUCGAAAGAGCGAAGGAGGAAAACUAGUCCCCCCGAUGUGCGAUUCGCAUAACGGGGAUAAAAAACCUAUCCCGAUUUUGUAUGAAUCCGCCAUAGGCGGAGAGUCUACAAAAUCGAGGACCCGCCAAAGCCGUGAGGCGACGGCGGGGCUAUAUUCGGGAAAACCCUACUUUGUGAAAACGAAGGGGCAACCCGCAGGGAAGUCCGAUGCAACAGCGGACCCCUCAGAGACUAUACGCUGGGCCCGAAAUAAAACUCGGCGGCGAGUGAGUUACUCGCUCGCCCAAAUUUUUCUUUCGGUGAUGAUAUAGUCCGAACUCGGCCGUAAUGCCGAGAAACGAGCAGAAAUGUCUCGUUCCGCAAUUUAAAAUUGAAAAUUUAGAAUUUAAAAUUUCAAUUUUGUUGCGAGCAACAAAAUUGUAGAUACCCUAGUAGUCCACGCCCUAAACGAUGCAGACUCGUCAUUGGAAGUAUCGACCCUUUCAGUGGCCAAGCUUACGCGUUAAGUCUGCCGCCUGGGAAGUACGGCCGCAAGGCUAAAACUCAAAGGAAUAGACGGGAGUUCGCACAAGCGGUGGUUCAUGCGGUUCAAUUCGAUGACAACCGAGGAACCUCACCAGGGUUUGAAAUGCUGGAAAAAGUCGGGGGAAACCCCGAUGUACCACAAGGAUGCCAGCACAGGUGCUGCACGGUCCUCGUCAGUUCGUGAUGUGAACUGUUCCCUUAAGUGGGGUAACGAACGCAACCCCCAUCCCAUGUUACAAGUGUCAUGGGAAACUGCCUCCGUUUAGGGGGAGGAAGGUGGGGAUGACGCGAGAUCAGCGUGGCCCUCUGAUACCCUGGGCUACACGCAUGAAACAAUGGAGCCGACAGAGCGUCGCGAAGCCGCAAGGCGGAGCCAAUCGCAUCAAACGGCCCCUCAGUUCAGAUUGGAGUCUGCAACUCGACUCCAUGAAGAAGGAAUCGCUAGUAAACGCGGAUCAGCUAUGCCGCGUUGAAUACGUUCUCGAACUUUGUACUCACCGCCCGUCACGUCAAGAGAGCCGGUAGUAGCCGAAACCCGGGGUCAGCCCGGACUAAGCUAAGAUCGGUGAUAGGGACGAAGUCGUAACAAGGCAUCGGUAGCGGAAGCUGUCGAUGGAACAUUUC
Molecule: ribosomal RNA, 3131 nt
Filed under: Parcubacteria group bacterium GW2011_GWA2_47_10
Lineage: Bacteria
Description: bacterial SSU rRNA
Rfam family: Bacterial small subunit ribosomal RNA (bases 1036-3131)
Source: RNAcentral